RNAcentral lists this transfer RNA (71 nucleotides) under Carapus bermudensis. RNAcentral describes it as "tRNA-Pro". It matches the Rfam family "tRNA". Rfam says of the family: Transfer RNA (tRNA) molecules are approximately 80 nucleotides in length. Their secondary structure includes four short double-helical elements and three loops (D, anti-codon, and T loops). The record is from RNAcentral. Lineage: Eukaryota; Metazoa; Chordata; Actinopteri; Ophidiiformes; Carapidae.
CAGAGGGUAGUUUACCGUUAGAAUAUUAGUUUUGGGGGCUAGUAGUGAGAGUUAAAAUCUCUCCCCUCUGA